This is a non-coding RNA of Dipodomys ordii (Ord's kangaroo rat), 65 nucleotides long. The record is from Rfam. Lineage: Eukaryota; Metazoa; Chordata; Mammalia; Rodentia; Heteromyidae.
GGUGGCUUAGUGGUAGAGUGCUUGCCUAGCAUGCAUGAAGCCCUGGGUUCAAUUCCUCAGUACCA